ACCGCAACGCGGAGCGUGGCGCUGCCGACUGCUAUGGCAAUCGGGGCUGGGGCUCGCCGCUCGCGUUGCCCUCUCGUUCCGUAGCGACAGCUACAACCCGCAGUCGGCAGGCAAGCCGGCACAUGCCUCGUUGCUUCAGUCUCACCCUGCUCGGUCCCUUCCACCUUUCAAUUGAAAAGAAUCCCUUGGCACGUAGAUAAGAUCUUCAUGUUCAAGGUUGGUAUGAUCUUGUAGUUUCACAGGAGUACGUCCAGUUGUACGUUCAUUGCUAACAAGUACUCCAUCAGGUGUAGGGUGUGCACCAUUCGAACUUACACCUUGAGACUUUCUUCUUCUCUUGUACUCACGUCUUGUUUGUAAGUAUUCCUCUCCUUGUUCAGGUGUCAACUGGGAAUAGCAGCUAGUGGUGCAUCGGAUCUUACGUCCACCAUGGCCACUAAUUCUGUUAUAUAUUUGUGCAUCGUCUGGAGUUUGAUUUUCUGAAGAAAUAGAAGAUACAAAUACUCCAGAUGGACUGAUCUUCAUUCGAGUACCAUUUUUCGGGCGGCACAUAUUUGACUGAAGAAGGAUGCCUUGUUUAGAUGCUGACACAUCGAAACUGCCAACUGCAGUCACUGUUUGUCACAUGGCCAAAAAAAAUUAGGCUGUAUUAUUAGUAAAUAUACAAUACAUUAGAACUAAAUUAAUAUAUUUUUACCAACCUCGUUUCCUCUUUGCUGAACAUCUUGGUUGAUGGAUCAUUGAACUGUGUAUAUUGGAGCUUGAAGAUGGAAAAUCUUCUUCUUGUAACAGAGUGACUGCUAUUUCUUUUCCUGGCAGACAAAUACAUAUUAGUAUCAUCA
This is a long non-coding RNA of Lolium rigidum, 842 nucleotides long. RefSeq lists it as uncharacterized. The record is from RefSeq and is a predicted model, not a curated record. Lineage: Eukaryota; Viridiplantae; Streptophyta; Magnoliopsida; Poales; Poaceae. The transcript is spliced from 2 exons.